AACAUAUUGGGCAUGAUGUACCAUUGAAUACUCUGACUUCAGUUGUGUACAGUUCUAGGGUGUGACAAGCUAGAGAGGUGGAAACUUUCCCAUUCUAACAGCUGGGACUCUAUAGUCUGAAGAGCAGCACUAUGCAAGACACAGAGCAUAAUAACUGCCAUCUAUCCAGUUUUUCUUCACUGCAUGUGCUUAGGCAGUCUUUUUCUUUUGGACUUCACUGGAUCAAAAUUUUGUGGGCAUGACGAACGUGACCCAGCUCAUCAAACCCGCCAUGGAGGAGGAGGAGGACAGCAGCGCGGGUCUGGGGUCGGGCAUGGUUGUUCUUAUCCUGGCAGCCCUGGUGAGUCUCACGCUCAUUUGUGUCGCAAUUGUUCCGUUAGCUUUGCAUUGUUUUUAUGCCCACCACCUUGAAUGCAACAGACAUACCCAUUGCAGUCCAUACUGCGAAUUUGUACGGGAAAUUUGUCUGUACUUCAAAAUCUUCAUUAGAAUUUCACAACACUAACAACCAAAAUCUUCAUCAGAAUUUCACAACACUAA
Long non-coding RNA from Cryptotermes secundus, 540 nucleotides. RefSeq lists it as uncharacterized. The transcript has 2 exons. The record is from RefSeq and is a predicted model, not a curated record. Lineage: Eukaryota; Metazoa; Arthropoda; Insecta; Blattodea; Kalotermitidae.